This 490-nucleotide ribosomal RNA is filed under the name uncultured bacterium. RNAcentral describes it as "partial 16S ribosomal RNA". It matches the Rfam family "Bacterial small subunit ribosomal RNA", at positions 30 to 507 of the family's 1533-position model. The record is from RNAcentral.
AUUGAACGCUGGCGGCAGGCCUAACACAUGCAAGUCGAACGGUAACAGGAAACAGCUUGCUGUUUCGCUGACGAGUGGCGGACGGGUGAGUAAUGUCUGGGAAACUGCCUGAUGGAGGGGGAUAACUACUGGAAACGGUAGCUAAUACCGCAUAACGUCGCAAGACCAAAGAGGGGGACCUUCGGGCCUCUUGCCCUCGGAUGUGCCCAGAUGGGAUUAGCUUGUUGGUGGGGUAACGGCUCACCAAGGCGACGAUCCCUAGCUGGUCUGAGAGGAUGACCAGCCACACUGGAACUGAGACACGGUCCAGACUCCGACGGGAGGCAGCAGUGGGGAAUAUUGCACAAUGGGCGCAAGCCUGAUGCAGCCAUGCCGCGUGUAUGAAGAAGGCCUUCGGGUUGUAAAGUACUUUCAGCGGGGAGGAAGGGAGUAAAGUUAAUACCUUUGCUCAUUGACGUUACCCGCAGAAGAAGCACCGGCUAACUCCGUG